AAUUUGUAUCAAAAUUUCAGUUUCACAUUUUCUCGCUAUCCGAGAAAAUAUCAAAAUGGAAAGAAAGUCGAACUUAACAAGCCUUGCUCUUCUGCAAUUUAAGAGGGACUUGGAAAUGUUUCAGAAGAAAUGCAAAAAUUUAAGAGCACAUUCACGUUUACAGGCCGUGCGAGAUCCAUCACUGUACCAAUUAUUUGUUGAUAUAAGAAAAGAAAACAGAAAAUGGGCUCGUGAGAAGAAGUAUGUGCUUGAUACAUUGAAUGCUGGUGGAAGCAAGUCUAUAUAUGAUAUUUGAAGAGAAGCAAAUAGUAGGUCUAAUAACUAAUGUUAUUUAAUAAAUAGGGUGCCUCUAACGGAUUUUGGACCCCUUUUUCCACAAUGGUCCCAUUUCACCUCCCAUUUCUGGUGCCGGGGAUGCCCCACGCAAUUUGCGCAUGUUAAAUUCUUAUGUAUUUUACUCAGAUGAUGAGACAAUUAGCGAAAUAUCCAGCAAGGAUUCGUUUUCUGAGCAACGUUUUUAUGUUCCGAAACCUAAAGGAGUCAAUGUAUUAUCUUCUCACGACUCUUCGUACUUCGCUUAUCCACGUACAUAUGCACCUAGACUAACACCAAAAUACCAGAGUACUUUAAAAAAUUAGAAAAAUCUCUAUUGUAAUCAGAAGGUGAACGCUAAUGCCCAUAACUCUCGAUUGAAUGCAUCAGAUAUCAACAAAGAAAUGAUAAUUAAUUUCUGAAAAAAAACUAUAAUGGUCGCGAUGAUCUUUCCAUAACUUUUUCAAACGAAUUAGGAGUCAAAAUUUGGAGGUAGAUAUUUUCAUGAGAUUAUGAAAAAUAUCACUUUAUAAUAAAAAACAAAUUGAUU
Teleopsis dalmanni is the source of this 862-nucleotide long non-coding RNA. RefSeq lists it as uncharacterized. NCBI's taxonomy places the organism in Eukaryota, Metazoa, Arthropoda, Insecta, Diptera, Diopsidae. The record is from RefSeq and is a predicted model, not a curated record. The transcript has 4 exons.